This 782-nucleotide ribosomal RNA is filed under the name uncultured Neocallimastigales. Its description in RNAcentral is "partial large subunit ribosomal RNA". It matches the Rfam family "Eukaryotic large subunit ribosomal RNA", at positions 24 to 646 of the family's 3401-position model. The record is from RNAcentral. Lineage: Eukaryota; Fungi; Neocallimastigomycota; Neocallimastigomycetes; Neocallimastigales.
UACGACUACAUAUCAGGCAUAUCAAUAAGCGGAGGAAAAGAAACUAACAAGGAUUCCCCUAGUAACGGCGAGUGAAGCGGGAAGAGCUCAAAUUUGAAAUCUUAAAGGUUCUACCUUGACGAAUUGUAGUUUAAAGAAGUGUUUUCUGUUAGAGUUCGGUAGCAAAGUUCCUUUGGAAUAGGGACGUCAUAGAGGGUGAGAAUCCCGUAUUUGACCGUUAUCUUUCUAGCUUUGUGAUACACUUUCAAAGAGUCGGAUUGUUUGGGAAUGCAGUCCAAAGAUGGGUGGUAAAUUUCAUCUAAAGCUAAAUAUUGGCGAGAGACCGAUAGCGAACAAGUACCGUGAGGGAAAGAUGAAAAGAACUUUGAAAAGAGAGUUAAACAGUACGUGAAAUUGUCAAAAGGGAAGGCGUUUGACACCAGUGUUGUUUUUCCGAAAAUCAAUUAAGAAGGGCUUGAUUUUGUGUUGUAUUGACCUUAUCAGCUUUCUUCACUCUUUUUCGAGUCUUUCUUAAUGCACUUUUCGGUUAACAAGUCAACAUCAAUUUCUUUUGUUGUAAAAGGGUAUUUGGAAGGUGGCUUUCUUUUCGGAGAAAGUGUUUAUAGCCUUAUACCUCUACAAUCGGAGAGAUUGAGGUCUGCAGCGUAGAUCCUUCGGGGCUAGAUACACUUGUGCUAAGUUAUAGCUUUUCAUAGACAACUUGUUGACUAUGUUUAGUCAUGUAGCUUACCCGCUUGUGCUAUUUUACCUACGCUUAGGAUGUUGAUCUACAGAGCGAGAGU